Molecule: ribosomal RNA, 253 nt
Filed under: uncultured prokaryote
Description: partial 16S ribosomal RNA
Rfam family: Bacterial small subunit ribosomal RNA
Source: RNAcentral
GACAGAGGGGGCAAGCGUUGCUCGGAAUUACUGGGCGUAAAGGGCGCGUAGGCGGGAUGGUAAGUCGGUCGUGAAAUCCCUCGGCUCAACCGAGGAACGUCGAUCGAUACUACCGUUCUUGAGGAUUGCAGAGGAGACUGGAAUUCCCGGUGUAGCGGUGAAAUGUGUAGAGAUCGGGAGGAACACCGGUGGCGAAGGCGGCGCUCUGGAACGUUUCUGACGCUGAGGCUCGAAAGCGUGGGGAGCAAACAGG